GUUCGUAUGGAUACAGUAUCUUCCAGUGAAGCUCUUUUUGAUGCCGUGUGUGCAAGCGAUGUCAAGAAAGCAUCGGCGGCUCUCGAGAAAGGAGCAGAUGUGAACGAAGUAGCAAAAGAGUGGGAGACUACGGUAGUGUGUAUGGUCUUCCAUCAGCGUUGCAAGUAGGAUGUGCUGAUUCAUCAAUUGACUUGGUGGAUUUACUGCUACAAUAUCUAGUAAACGUCAACUCUCCAUGAGGAUGGGGUGCUAUUGAUCGUCUCGGUUCAACUGUUAAGGCUGAUUAUGAAGUUGCUAUGAAAAGGGGGAAGUUGCAAUAAUGCAAGGGAAC
Long non-coding RNA from Corticium candelabrum, 331 nucleotides. RefSeq lists it as uncharacterized. The record is from RefSeq and is a predicted model, not a curated record. The transcript has 3 exons. Lineage: Eukaryota; Metazoa; Porifera; Homoscleromorpha; Homosclerophorida; Plakinidae.